Molecule: ribosomal RNA, 449 nt
Filed under: uncultured organism
Description: partial 16S ribosomal RNA
Rfam family: Bacterial small subunit ribosomal RNA
Source: RNAcentral
GUACACUCCUGCGGGAGGCAGCAGUGGGGAAUAUUGGACAAUGGGCGCAAGCCUGAUCCAGCCAUGCCGCGUGAGUGAUGAAGGCCCUAGGGUUGUAAAGCUCUUUCACCGGUGAAGAUAAUGACGGUAACCGGAGAAGAAGCCCCGGCUAACUUCGUGCCAGCAGCCGCGGUAAUACGAAGGGGGCUAGCGUUGUUCGGAUUUACUGGGCGUAAAGCGCACGUAGGCGGACUAUUAAGUCAGGGGUGAAAUCCCGGGGCUCAACCCCGGAACUGCCUUUGAUACUGGUAGUCUUGAGUUCGGGAGAGGUGAGUGGAAUUCCGAGUGUAGAGGUGAAAUUCGUAGAUAUUCGGAGGAACACCAGUGGCGAAGGCGGCUCACUGGCUCGAUACUGACGCUGAGGUGCGAAAGCGUGGGGAGCAAACAGGAUUAGAAACCCGGGUAGUCCC